This 492-nucleotide ribosomal RNA is filed under the name uncultured bacterium. Its description in RNAcentral is "partial 16S ribosomal RNA". It matches the Rfam family "Bacterial small subunit ribosomal RNA", at positions 29 to 507 of the family's 1533-position model. The record is from RNAcentral.
AGUGAACGCUGGCGGUAGGCCUAACACAUGCAAGUCGAACGGCAGCACAGUAAGAGCUUGCUCUUACGGGUGGCGAGUGGCGGACGGGUGAGGAAUACAUCGGAAUCUACUUUUUCGUGGGGGAUAACGUAGGGAAACUUACGCUAAUACCGCAUACGACCUACGGGUGAAAGCAGGGGAUCUUCGGACCUUGCGCGAUUGAAUGAGCCGAUGUCGGAUUAGCUAGUUGGCGGGGUAAAGGCCCACCAAGGCGACGAUCCGUAGCUGGUCUGAGAGGGUGAUCAGCCACACUGGAACUGAGACACGGUCCAGACUCCUACGGGAGGCAGCAGUGGGGAAUAUUGGACAAUGGGCGCAAGCCUGAUCCAGCUAUACCGCGUGGGUGAAGAAGGCCUUCGGGUUGUAAAGCCCUUUUGUUGGGAAAGAAAAGCAGCAGGUUAAUACCCCGCUGUUCUGACGGUACCCAAAGAAUAAGCACCGGCUAACUUCGUG